UUCCCUAACUUGUUUGCGGGUGGUGUUGGCAUAUGCAAUUUUUUGUACAACUGAACGACUUUCGGCAACGGAUAUUUCGGUUCUUGCAUCGAUGAAGAACGUAGGGAAAUGCGAUACUUGGUGUGAAUUGCAGAAUCCCGUGAACCAUCGAGUCUUUGAACGCAAGUUGCGCUUGAAGCCAGUAGGUUGAAGGCACGUCUGCUUGGGCUUCAUGCAUUGCGUCUCCCGUUCCCUUGUGCUUACGCGUGCAUGUCGGGAUGUGGGAGGAUGUUGGCCCCCCGUUUGCCCUUGGUGGUCGGUUGGCCUAAAAGGGAGUUCCCGACGACGGACAUCACGACAAAUGGUGGUUGCAAAAAUCGUCGCUUCAUGUUUGUGGAUGCCAUUGUUAGUCGCUGGUUGGCUCGUUGACCCCAGAGGUGCUAGUACAUGCGGCACCUUG
This 439-nucleotide ribosomal RNA is filed under the name Styphelia filamentosa. Its description in RNAcentral is "eukaryotic LSU rRNA". The stretch from base 57 to 212 matches the Rfam family "5.8S ribosomal RNA". Lineage: Eukaryota; Viridiplantae; Streptophyta; Magnoliopsida; Ericales; Ericaceae. The record is from RNAcentral.